RNAcentral lists this ribosomal RNA (490 nucleotides) under uncultured bacterium. RNAcentral describes it as "partial 16S ribosomal RNA". It matches the Rfam family "Bacterial small subunit ribosomal RNA", at positions 30 to 507 of the family's 1533-position model. The record is from RNAcentral.
AUUGAACGCUGGCGGCAUGCUUUACACAUGCAAGUCGAACGGCAGCACGAAAGGGCUUGCUCUUUUGGUGGCGAGUGGCGAACGGGUGAGUAAUGCAUCGGAACGUACCGAGUAAUGGGGGAUAACUGUCCGAAAGGAUAGCUAAUACCGCAUACGCUUUGAGAAGGAAAGUGGGGGCUCUUCGGACCUCACGUUAUUCGAGCGGCCGAUGUCUGAUUAGCUAGUUGGUGGGGUAAGGGCCUACCAAGGCGACGAUCAGUAGCGGGUCUGAGAGGAUGAUCCGCCACACUGGGACUGAGACACGGCCCAGACUCCUACGGGAGGCAGCAGUGGGGAAUUUUGGACAAUGGGCGCAAGCCUGAUCCAGCCAUGCCGCGUGUCUGAAGAAGGCCUUCGGGUUGUAAAGGACUUUUGUUAGGGAAGAAAAGGAUAGUGUUAAUACCAUUAUCUGCUGACGGUACCUAAAGAAUAAGCACCGGCUAACUACGUG